UUGUAAAGUGCAUGAAAGAAUUCACACUGGGGAGAAACCAUAUAUAUGUAAGCAAUGUGGGAAAGCAUUCAGUACACAGAGUUAUUGUCAAAUUCAUGAAAGAACUCACAGUAAGGAGAAACCCUAUGUAUGUUAGCAAGGUGGGAAAGCUUUAGGCACACACAGGAAUUGUCAAAUACAUCAAGUCUCAGUGGGGAGGAGACCUGUAGAGAAAACUAAUGUGUAAUUAAUAUGUAAUGAUAAUUAAUAUGUAAUGUUUGUUGUCAAUAUUUCUUCAUAUGUUUUUCAGGAAAUACAAUUCCAGAUGGAGAUAAACUAUAGUACAUAAUAUGUUUUUCAGUAAAUUACUUAUAAAUAUCAGGAUUAUGUACCUGUGGUAUUUAAUGUAAAAAUAGUGAGUUUACAUAAUUAUGUAUUUUUGUGUCCAUGUCUUUGAACUUAAUACGUAGUGUCUUUUAAUUAAGUAUGGUAAAUUGAAAUGUGCUUUUUAACUUUCAAGUAUAGUUGGUGUUUAAGUAGUUUUGGCUUUGUUUUUAAAAUUAGGAGGCAUGGACCACUAAAAAAAUUAAUUUCCUUAAUUGUGGAGAUUUUGCCACUACAAUUUAUUUUAAGGAUUUGAUGCAUAUACUUCAUAUUCUGUGUAACAAAAGACUUUUUAGUUUGAUGGUAUAUUUUAUAUUAAGAUAGAUUUUCCAAGACUUGUGAACAUGUGUUUUUAACAAAGUUGAUUUCUUUUCCCCAACUUGCACUUUAGCAAAUGUUGUUUUUUAUAUACUGAUAAGCUACCUCCUUGUUAUGACCUAAUUUUGCCUAUUUUCCUUUCAUUUUGGGGCCAGUAUUAGCAUUUACAUAAAAUUUUGUUUUCUUAUGGAAUUCUACUUUUCAUGUUUAGGCAACUGGAUUUAUUGUAUUCCCUGCUGCUGUGAUGUCAAUUUUUGAUAAUUAUUAUCAUUUAUACCUAGUAAGCUGACCUAAUUGCAUGAAGGAGAGCAUAAUUUGUGAGAGGUGUCAUUGUGCUUAUUAAAAACUGAAAUUUACUAUUAUAAUUCAGAUUUUGUUCUGCUUUCUCAAUUUUUGAGAUAGAUUUAUACAGUACCACUUCUCAUUGUUCAUAAGGACCGCUGUCUCAUGUUUGAGUAACAUCUGCAACCACUUCAACUUCAUUGAAAUUAUGAUGCACUUAGCAUCAACUUCACUGCAUUCUCUCCCGGAUUCAAUGACUUGUUAAUCAGUGUAUUGCACUGGAACAUACUUAUGCAUAUUUAUAUAGGUUUCUUUUUCUACUCUUGCUAUAAAGGAAUUUUUACAUUUCCUCAUAUAAUCAGAGGCUGAAUACUUCUACAAUGGGUGACUGCUCAAGUGAUGGUAGAAACUUAAGAACAAGAAUGAAUAAUGCAAAUAUUCCUAGUGGGGAGGCUUUGAAGCUCCAUGGGAAACCACUCAUAAAGGUCUAUGUCCAAAGACUGAAUGAAUACUAGAUUCUGAUAUUCUUGGAUGAUGACAGCACCAAACAUCACAUCUUUUUAAAAAAAAAUUAAGUAUGGUGACUCCCUGAACAGUGUGGGAGGCAGGUGGAGCCCUGGGCAACCUCUGGGGCCUUAGUGGCUACUCACCACACCCAUAGAGUGUCUGCAGGUGCGGGCAGCAGUAAGUCCUGCUCUGUCAGCAACCAACUGUCAAGGGUAAACUGAUACUCUUCACUGUACUCCAUUUAAUAAAUUACAUGUAGUAGUA
Chinchilla lanigera (long-tailed chinchilla) is the source of this 1734-nucleotide long non-coding RNA. RefSeq lists it as uncharacterized. The record is from RefSeq and is a predicted model, not a curated record. The transcript is spliced from 2 exons. NCBI's taxonomy places the organism in Eukaryota, Metazoa, Chordata, Mammalia, Rodentia, Chinchillidae.